Long non-coding RNA from Dermochelys coriacea (leatherback sea turtle), 8110 nucleotides. RefSeq lists it as uncharacterized. The transcript has 8 exons. NCBI's taxonomy places the organism in Eukaryota, Metazoa, Chordata, Testudines, Dermochelyidae. The record is from RefSeq and is a predicted model, not a curated record.
GCAGGGCAGGGCAGGAGGUGGGUCACGCUGCCUACCUGGGAGGAGACUCCUGGAGAGGCUCCUGUUCAGGAUGGGUCGCACAGUAAAGAAGCUGCUCUCUGCAUGUCUUAGGUGUUUAACAGCUUCUGCUAAAUGGACAACAAAAAUACACAAAAACAAUAAAGAAACAAAUCAACUAAAGCAAAAGGGAAUGAAAAACAAAGCUAUGGAAAAAGAAAGAUUGUCCCUAUCAAGAAGCAACUCAAAAGAGAAAACGGAGAAGAAGACAGAAGCCCCAAAGAACCGGCAGGAGAAGACAAUGGAAGCAGAAGCCACAGAAAAGAGACACACACACCUUGCACGCGUGGGCCUCCCUGUAAUGAGGACACGGGGUUUCCACUUAAGCUUCAUUCCCCCUUGAGGUGCCAGGUAAAAGGACCUCCCUGUAAACAGGGAUCAAGGUCCACCCCUUCCCAGCAAAAAGGCUUGAGGUGUCCGUUAGGUAGCUAAGGCUGAGGAACCCCCCUUUAAGAAGGGUAGCGGUCUCUCUGUGGCUUUCAGCUCUUUAGGAGCUAGGCUUUAAAAUGCCCCGUGCCAUUGACCUCUCCCUGUAAGAAGGGUUCAGGUCUCCCCUUUUUAGCUUCUCCUGGGCCGCUGGCACUUGCUGGGCAAAGAGACGGCCCUCUCCUGAGGGAAUGGAGGUCUCUCGUUUUCAGCGCUUUAGCCUCUGCUCCGUUGUAAUGCCCCUGGCUUGAGGACCACCCUGUAAGGAGGGUUUGGGCCUCCUUUGCCAUGCUACUUUUGCCACAGGUCACUUGGACAUGCCAGGCAAAAUGACCGCCCUGUAAGCAGGAUGUAAGGUCUUCUCCCUCUCCCUCUUAAGCCAGUGGGCCCUUUCCGUACCUGUGGCUGAGGGACCCCCCUUUAAGAAGGGUAGCGGUCUCUCUGUGGCUUUCAGCUCUUUAGGAGCUAAGCUUUAAAAUGCCCCGUACCAUUGACCUCUCCCUGUCAGAAGGGUUCAGGUGUCCCCUUUUUAGCUUCUCCUGGGCCGCUGGCACUUGCUGGGCAAAGAGACCACCCUCUCCUGAGGGAAUGGAGGUCUCUCCCUUUCUGUACUUCGGGGUUUGGCCCAGGCCAAAGGACCACCCUGUAAGGAGGGUUUGGGUCUCCUUUGCCCUGCUGCUUUCGCUACAGGUCACUUGGACAUGCCAGGCAAAAUGACCGCCCUGUAAGCAGGGUGUAAGGUCUGCUCCCUCUCCCUCUUAAGCCAGUGGGGCCUUUCGGUGCCUGUGGCUGAGGGACCCCCCUUUAAGAAGGGUAGCGGUCUUUGUGUGGCAUUCAGCUCGUUAGCAGCUAGGCUUUAAAAUUCCCUGUGCCGUUGACCUCUCCCUGUCAGAAGGGUUCAGGUGUCCCCUUUUUAGCUUCUCUUGGGCCGCUGGCACUUGCAGGGCAAAGAGACCACCCUCUCCUGAGGGGAUGGAGGUCUCUCCCUUUCUGCACUUCAGGGUUUGGCCCAGGCUAAAGGACCAUCCUGUAAGGAGGGUUUGGGUCUCCUUUGCCAUGCUGCAUUCGCCACAGGUCACUUGGACAUGCCAGGCAAAAUGACCGCCCUAUAAGCAGGGUGUAAGGUCUUCUCUCUCUCCCUCUGAAGUCAGUGGGGCCUUUCCGUGCCUGUGGCUGAGGGAUCCCGCUUUAAGAAGGGUUGAGCGUCUCUUUUCUCUUUCUCCUCGUAAACUGCUCUAGAAAUCAUUUCGACUUGGCUUUUUUGACAUUUGCAGUCAAAUCGUAUUUGUGACCUCUUGAAUUCAAGCCGGGGUCCCAUGGAACAUGGUGUGGCGAAGGGGCGGCUGUAAGGGGAUGGUGGAGGCCGUGAGAAAUUGGACGCUUUUUUGAAAAAAGCCAAGAAACCCCCCAAAACAAUCCAAAUCUUUCCAGGUCUGGAAAUGAACUGGUGAGGUGGGGGGCUCCUUUCAGCUCCUCACUUCCAUGCAAUCCUUCCUCAUUUCCUCUUGCCCUGCCCAACUGCCGCUGCCCCCCAACCUCAGCUUGGACCCUUUCUUUUAUUCUGCGCAGGAAACAUACUGCUGGCUGUGGUAGUGUAAUUGUCUUGAUUGGGAAUGGUCCGUUCGUGGUGUCCCAAUUCCAGGCCUUUGCUCUCUUUGCUGGUAGACUGAGGCUAUAUUUUUGGACUGUCUUUGAAGGGAUUGAAAGAGCUGUGCUUCAUGACAGCUGUUGGUGAUCUGGUGGUAUAGCUACAGGUGUCGUGGUCUUGCAUCUUGCACGUGGGUGCUCCUAACCCUACUAACAGGACUGCGUAAGAAGUAAGGGAUGUCUGUUUUGGAAAAGGGUAGGGGGUUCACAGUUGUAAUGUUCUUGGUGGGGUAGACAGGUAAGUCGGGAAGGGUGUUGGUGAGGGAUGGAGGAUUCCUUGGUCAUGGGAGGCUCCCUUACCUGUUCAUUUCCAGACAUUGUCACCUUUGUGACUCCUUUCCCCUUGUUUCAAGGAAGUAGGAUUUUUGUGAAGGAAGGGUGACCGCCCUGUGAUCGGGGUUCGGGUCGCUUUCCUUUCCCCCUCUUUGCAUUGGCCCUCUUAAUGCCAAAGUCCAAAGUGAGCUCCCUGUAACUAGGGUGUGCGUCUUUCCCAAGCUUACUCGCCCAUUUGAAAGCUAGUUAUAGAAACCAGCCUCUUUGGAGAGUUAGGGGUUUGUCCUUCUAGCUGUCCUGUCGCCAUGCCCUACUCACACGCACAACCAAGUCCAAACCGAGCGAACUCUGCAUCCAGCUGGCCCCGACGACUUCUGCUGCUGCUGCUGCAAGGUUUCCUGCUGUAUGCCACAGCAACUCAAAAGAGAAAACGGAGAAGAAGACAGAAGCCCCAAAGAACCGGCAGGAGAAGACAAUGGAAGCAGAAGCCACAGAAAAGAGACACACACCUUGCACGCGUGGGCCUCCCUGUAAUGAGGACACGGGGUUUCCACUUAAGCUUCAUUCCCCCUUGAGGUGCCAGGUAAAAGGACCUCCCUGUAAACAGGGAUCAAGGUCCACCCCUUCCCAGCAAAAAGGCUUGAGGUGUCCGUUAGGUAGCUAAGGCUGAGGAACCCCCCUUUAAGAAGGGUAGCGGUCUCUCUGUGGCUUUCAGCUCUUUAGGAGCUAGGCUUUAAAAUGCCCCGUGCCAUUGACCUCUCCCUGUAAGAAGGGUUCAGGUCUCCCCUUUUUAGCUUCUCCUGGGCCGCUGGCACUUGCUGGGCAAAGAGACGGCCCUCUCCUGAGGGAAUGGAGGUCUCUCCCUUUCUGCACUUCAGGGUUUGGCCCAGGCUAAAGGACCAUCCUGUAAGGAGGGUUUGGGUCUCCUUUGCCAUGCUGCAUUCGCCACAGGUCACUUGGACAUGCCAGGCAAAAUGACCGCCCUAUAAGCAGGGUGUAAGGUCUUCUCUCUCUCCCUCUGAAGUCAGUGGGGCCUUUCCGUGCCUGUGGCUGAGGGAUCCCGCUUUAAGAAGGGUUGAGCGUCUCUUUUCUCUUUCUCCUCGUAAACUGCUCUAGAAAUCAUUUCGACUUGGCUUUUUUGACAUUUGCAGUCAAAUCGUAUUUGUGACCUCUUGAAUUCAAGCCGGGGUCCCAUGGAACAUGGUGUGGCGAAGGGGCGGCUGUAAGGGGAUGGUGGAGGCCGUGAGAAAUUGGACGCUUUUUUGAAAAAAGCCAAGAAACCCCCCAAAACAAUCCAAAUCUUUCCAGGUCUGGAAAUGAACUGGUGAGGUGGGGGGCUCCUUUCAGCUCCUCACUUCCAUGCAAUCCUUCCUCAUUUCCUCUUGCCCUGCCCAACUGCCGCUGCCCCCCAACCUCAGCUUGGACCCUUUCUUUUAUUCUGCGCAGGAAACAUACUGCUGGCUGUGGUAGUGUAAUUGUCUUGAUUGGGAAUGGUCCGUUCGUGGUGUCCCAAUUCCAGGCCUUUGCUCUCUUUGCUGGUAGACUGAGGCUAUAUUUUUGGACUGUCUUUGAAGGGAUUGAAAGAGCUGUGCUUCAUGACAGCUGUUGGUGAUCUGGUGGUAUAGCUACAGGUGUCGUGGUCUUGCAUCUUGCACGUGGGUGCUCCUAACCCUACUAACAGGACUGCGUAAGAAGUAAGGGAUGUCUGUUUUGGAAAAGGGUAGGGGGUUCACAGUUGUAAUGUUCUUGGUGGGGUAGACAGGUAAGUCGGGAAGGGUGUUGGUGAGGGAUGGAGGAUUCCUUGGUCAUGGGAGGCUCCCUUACCUGUUCAUUUCCAGACAUUGUCACCUUUGUGACUCCUUUCCCCUUGUUUCAAGGAAGUAGGAUUUUUGUGAAGGAAGGGUGACCGCCCUGUGAUCGGGGUUCGGGUCGCUUUCCUUUCCCCCUCUUUGCAUUGGCCCUCUUAAUGCCAAAGUCCAAAGUGAGCUCCCUGUAACUAGGGUGUGCGUCUUUCCCAAGCUUACUCGCCCAUUUGAAAGCUAGUUAUAGAAACCAGCCUCUUUGGAGAGUUAGGGGUUUGUCCUUCUAGCUGUCCUGUCGCCAUGCCCUACUCACACGCACAACCAAGUCCAAACCGAGCGAACUCUGCAUCCAGCUGGCCCCGACGACUUCUGCUGCUGCUGCUGCAAGGUUUCCUGCUGUAUGCCACAGCAACUCAAAAGAGAAAACGGAGAAGAAGACAGAAGCCCCAAAGAACCGGCAGGAGAAGACAAUGGAAGCAGAAGCCACAGAAAAGAGACACACACCUUGCACGCGUGGGCCUCCCUGUAAUGAGGACACGGGGUUUCCACUUAAGCUUCAUUCCCCCUUGAGGUGCCAGGUAAAAGGACCUCCCUGUAAACAGGGAUCAAGGUCCACCCCUUCCCAGCAAAAAGGCUUGAGGUGUCCGUUAGGUAGCUAAGGCUGAGGAACCCCCCUUUAAGAAGGGUAGCGGUCUCUCUGUGGCUUUCAGCUCUUUAGGAGCUAGGCUUUAAAAUGCCCCGUGCCAUUGACCUCUCCCUGUAAGAAGGGUUCAGGUCUCCCCUUUUUAGCUUCUCCUGGGCCGCUGGCACUUGCUGGGCAAAGAGACGGCCCUCUCCUGAGGGAAUGGAGGUCUCUCGUUUUCAGCGCUUUAGCCUCUGCUCCGUUGUAAUGCCCCUGGCUUGAGGACCACCCUGUAAGGAGGGUUUGGGCCUCCUUUGCCAUGCUACUUUCGCCACAGGUCACUUGGACAUGCCAGGCAAAAUGACCGCCCUGUAAGCAGGGUGUAAGGUCUGCUCCCUCUCCCUCUUAAGCCAGUGGGCCCUUUCCGUACCUGUGGCUGAGGGACCCCCCUUUAAGAAGGGUAGCGGUCUCUCUGUGGCUUUCAGCUCUUUAGGAGCUAAGCUUUAAAAUGCCCCGUACCAUUGACCUCUCCCUGUCAGAAGGGUUCAGGUGUCCCCUUUUUAGCUUCUCCUGGGCCGCUGGCACUUGCUGGGCAAAGAGACCACCCUCUCCUGAGGGAAUGGAGGUCUCUCCCUUUCUGUACUUCGGGGUUUGGCCCAGGCCAAAGGACCACCCUGUAAGGAGGGUUUGGGUCUCCUUUGCCCUGCUGCUUUCGCUACAGGUCACUUGGACAUGCCAGGCAAAAUGACCGCCCUGUAAGCAGGGUGUAAGGUCUGCUCCCUCUCCCUCUUAAGCCAGUGGGGCCUUUCGGUGCCUGUGGCUGAGGGACCCCCCUUUAAGAAGGGUAGCGGUCUUUGUGUGGCAUUCAGCUCGUUAGCAGCUAGGCUUUAAAAUUCCCUGUGCCGUUGACCUCUCCCUGUCAGAAGGGUUCAGGUGUCCCCUUUUUAGCUUCUCUUGGGCCGCUGGCACUUGCUGGGCAAAGAGACCACCCUCUCCUGAGGGGAUGGAGGUCUCUCCCUUUCUGCACUUCAGGGUUUCGCCCAGGCUAAAGGACCAUCCUGUAAGGAGGGUUUGGGUCUCCUUUGCCAUGCUGCAUUCGCCACAGGUCACUUGGACAUGCCAGGCAAAAUGACCGCCCUGUAAGCAGGGUGUAAGGUCUGCUCCCUCUCCCUCUUAAGCCAGUGGGCCCUUUCCGUACCUGUGGCUGAGGGACCCCCCUUUAAGAAGGGUAGCGGUCUCUCUGUGGCUUUCAGCUCUUUAGGAGCUAAGCUUUAAAAUGCCCCGUACCAUUGACCUCUCCCUGUCAGAAGGGUUCAGGUGUCCCCUUUUUAGCUUCUCCUGGGCCGCUGGCACUUGCUGGGCAAAGAGACCACCCUCUCCUGAGGGAAUGGAGGUCUCUCCCUUUCUGUACUUCGGGGUUUGGCCCAGGCCAAAGGACCACCCUGUAAGGAGGGUUUGGGUCUCCUUUGCCCUGCUGCUUUCGCUACAGGUCACUUGGACAUGCCAGGCAAAAUGACCGCCCUGUAAGCAGGGUGUAAGGUCUGCUCCCUCUCCCUCUUAAGCCAGUGGGGCCUUUCGGUGCCUGUGGCUGAGGGACCCCCCUUUAAGAAGGGUAGCGGUCUUUGUGUGGCAUUCAGCUCGUUAGCAGCUAGGCUUUAAAAUUCCCUGUGCUGUUGACCUCUCCCUGUCAGAAGGGUUCAGGUGUCCCCUUUUUAGCUUCUCUUGGGCCGCUGGCACUUGCUGGGCAAAGAGACCACCCUCUCCUGAGGGGAUGGAGGUCUCUCCCUUUCUGCACUUCAGGGUUUGGCCCAGGCUAAAGGACCAUCCUGUAAGGAGGGUUUGGGUCUCCUUUGCCAUGCUGCAUUCGCCACAGGUCACUUGGACAUGCCAGGCAAAAUGACCGCCCUAUAAGCAGGGUGUAAGGUCUUCUCUCUCUCCCUCUGAAGUCAGUGGGGCCUUUCCGUGCCUGUGGCUGAGGGAUCCCGCUUUAAGAAGGGUUGAGCGUCUCUUUUCUCUUUCUCCUCGUAAACUGCUCUAGAAAUCAUUUCGACUUGGCUUUUUUGACAUUUGCAGUCAAAUCGUAUUUGUGACCUCUUGAAUUCAAGCCGGGGUCCCAUGGAACAUGGUGUGGCGAAGGGGCGGCUGUAAGGGGAUGGUGGAGGCCGUGAGAAAUUGGACGCUUUUUUGAAAAAAGCCAAGAAACCCCCCAAAACAAUCCAAAUCUUUCCAGGUCUGGAAAUGAACUGGUGAGGUGGGGGGCUCCUUUCAGCUCCUCACUUCCAUGCAAUCCUUCCUCAUUUCCUCUUGCCCUGCCCAACUGCCGCUGCCCCCCAAGCUCAGCUUGGACCCUUUCUUUUAUUCUGCGCAGGAAACAUACUGCUGGCUGUGGUAGUGUAAUUGUCUUGAUUGGGAAUGGUCCGUUCGUGGUGUCCCAAUUCCAGGCCUUUGCUCUCUUUGCUGGUAGACUGAGGCUAUAUUUUUGGACUGUCUUUGAAGGGAUUGAAAGAGCUGUGCUUCAUGACAGCUGUUGGUGAUCUGGUGGUAUAGCUACAGGUGUCGUGGUCUUGCAUCUUGCACGUGGGUGCUCCUAACCCUACUAACAGGACUGCGUAAGAAGUAAGGGAUGUCUGUUUUGGAAAAGGGUAGGGGGUUCACAGUUGUAAUGUUCUUGGUGGGGUAGACAGGUAAGUCGGGAAGGGUGUUGGUGAGGGAUGGAGGAUUCCUUGGUCAUGGGAGGCUCCCUUACCUGUUCAUUUCCAGACAUUGUCACCUUUGUGACUCCUUUCCCCUUGUUUCAAGGAAGUAGGAUUUUUGUGAAGGAAGGGUGACCGCCCUGUGAUCGGGGUUCGGGUCGCUUUCCUUUCCCCCUCUUUGCAUUGGCCCUCUUAAUGCCAAAGUCCAAAGUGAGCUCCCUGUAACUAGGGUGUGCGUCUUUCCCAAGCUUACUCGCCCAUUUGAAAGCUAGUUAUAGAAACCAGCCUCUUUGGAGAGUUAGGGGUUUGUCCUUCUAGCUGUCCUGUCGCCAUGCCCUACUCACACGCACAACCAAGUCCAAACCGAGCGAACUCUGCAUCCAGCUGGCCCCGACGACUUCUGCUGCUGCUGCUGCAAGGUUUCCUGCUGUAUGCCACAGCAACUCAAAAGAGAAAACGGAGAAGAAGACAGAAGCCCCAAAGAACCGGCAGGAGAAGACAAUGGAAGCAGAAGCCACAGAAAAGAGACACACACCUUGCACGCGUGGGCCUCCCUGUAAUGAGGACACGGGGUUUCCACUUAAGCUUCA